GCAAACUUGGUCAUUUAGAGGAAGUAAAAGUCGUAACAAGGUUUCCGUAGGUGAACCUGCGGAAGGAUCAUUAACAAGAUCGAACCAAAAAAAAUAUGGACGAUCAAAUCCAUAUCCACCUUGUGUGCACUUAUUGACCGUUUGCUUUGGCAGGAGUUGUCUUUGGAUCCCGGCCCCCCCUCGAUAGAUGGGGAGAGGGAUCGAAGCUGCGAGGGUGGGAGGACCCCUCCCGUACACCCCUCGGGCCUGCCAGAGUUUUUUAAGAUCCACACUUUUAUUUAAACCUUUUUGGACUGAACCCUCGUCUCGAUUCUUUGUAAUCGGUCGAAUCUAAUACAACUUUCAACAACGGAUCUCUUGGCUCUCGCAUCGAUGAAGAACGCAGC
Molecule: unclassified non-coding RNA, 386 nt
Filed under: uncultured fungus
Lineage: Eukaryota; Fungi
Description: partial contains small subunit ribosomal RNA, internal transcribed spacer 1, and 5.8S ribosomal RNA
Rfam family: Eukaryotic small subunit ribosomal RNA (bases 1-73)
Source: RNAcentral